RNAcentral lists this unclassified non-coding RNA (527 nucleotides) under uncultured Glomeromycotina. RNAcentral describes it as "SSU rRNA". It matches the Rfam family "Eukaryotic small subunit ribosomal RNA", at positions 591 to 1113 of the family's 1831-position model. Lineage: Eukaryota; Fungi; Glomeromycota. The record is from RNAcentral.
CCAAUAGCGUAUAUUAAAGUUGUUGCAGUUAAAAAGCUCGUAGUUGAAUUUCGGGAUUGACACAUCGGUCGUGCCUUAAGGGGUAUGAACUGGUGUAGUCAAUUUCUCACCUUCUGGAGAACCGCGAUGCCCUUAAUUGGGUGCCGCGGGGAACCAGGACCUUUACUUUGAAAAAAUUAGAGUGUUUAAAGCAGGCAUUUUGCUUGAAUACAUUAGCAUGGAAUAAUAAAAUAGGACGGCAUGAUUCUAUUUUGUUGGUUUCUAGGAUCACCGUAAUGAUUAAUAGGGAUAGUUGGGGGCAUUAGUAUUCAAUUGUCAGAGGUGAAAUUCUUGGAUUUAUUGAAGACUAACUACUGCGAAAGCAUUUGCCAAGGAUGUUUUCAUUAAUCAAGAACGAAAGUUAGGGGAUCGAAGACGAUCAGAUACCGUCGUAGUCUUAACCAUAAACUAUGCCGACUAGGAAUCAGACGAUGUUAAUUUUUUAAUGACUCGUUUGGCACCUUACGGGAAACCAAAGUGUUUGGGUC